RNAcentral lists this ribosomal RNA (383 nucleotides) under Papuascincus sp. RNAcentral's name for it is "partial small subunit ribosomal RNA". It matches the Rfam family "Bacterial small subunit ribosomal RNA", at positions 794 to 1384 of the family's 1533-position model. The record is from RNAcentral. Lineage: Eukaryota; Metazoa; Chordata; Lepidosauria; Squamata; Scincidae.
GCUUAGCCCUAAACACAGAUAUUAUAAUACACCAAUAUCCGCCAGAGAACUACAAGCGAAAAGCUAGAAACUCCAAGGACUUGGCGGUGCUUCAAAUCAACUUAGAGGAGCCUGUCCUAUAAUCGAUACUCCACGUUUCACCUCACCCCCCCUAGCCCCCAGCCUAUAUACCGCCGUCGUCAGCCUACCUUAUGAAGGAAAUAAAGUAAGCAAAACAGUUAAUAACUAAAACGUCAGGUCAAGGUGUAGCACAUGGGCGGGCAGAGAUGGGCUACAUUUUCAUAAACGAACACACGGAUAAUAUAUUGAAACAUAUAUUUGAAGGCGGAUUUAAUAGUAAAAAUAACCAAGAAACCUAUAUUGAAAGCUGCUCUGAAGCGCGC